Long non-coding RNA from Oncorhynchus gorbuscha (pink salmon), 4384 nucleotides. RefSeq lists it as uncharacterized. The transcript is spliced from 4 exons. The record is from RefSeq and is a predicted model, not a curated record. Lineage: Eukaryota; Metazoa; Chordata; Actinopteri; Salmoniformes; Salmonidae.
UUACUGUUAUUUUUUGUUUAUUAUCUAUUUCACUUGCUUGUGCAAUUUAAACAUGUUUCCCAUGCCAAUAAAGCCCCAUAAAUUGAAAUUCAAUUGGAAGCGAGAUACUACACUCGCUGUUUUCCCCCAGCUUUUUUCUAGUUUAAUGAAAGUCAACUAACUAUGUAGACCAGACCCAGCUGCUAUUGCAUUGAUGUCUAAGGGAGACACACCCAGUUAAGUAGACUGAAACUGUCAACGCUAAAAGGCCUGCGUGAACUCUCUUAAAUUUAUCCACCAUCUUUGGUUGCUAACGUUAUACUGUGUGACUAACUACUACUGUAACUAGCUACAUUUUUUGAAACUAUUAUCUAACUGUGUCGGAAUUGAGAAACUAAUAGUACACCCAACAAUUUCAAAGAAGCUAACGCUAGUUAGCUAAGGUAUAGAGAUAAGUAUUCAGUAAUAGUAAAUUAGCUACCGUACCAUACUCAGAAGAUAGCUAACGUUAGCUAGCAAGACGAGGAAGCGCUAGCUAACAUAGCAUAGAUAGCUAACAAGCAGCCUGGGUUUGAAUUAAACGCUCCCCAGAAUAGCUGGUAUAUCGGCUAAUGAUAAAUUGCAAGCCAUCUAGUUACCUUUACCUAGGUGCGCGAAUAGCUAAUUCCUUGAUUAAAGUAAGUGAACUAGAUAAUUUCACUAACUGAGCCAGGAAGGAAGACAUUAACAGGUAAAUUAGGAAACAUGGACAAUACAUCAUCAAGUGGACCCAGUAAGGGUGGAGCAUUGCCUGAAUAUUCAAACACUGAAUUCGGCGUCAAUUAUUUCUCAACGUGAUAUGGAAAGUCUGCAAUUCAAUUCGACCUAAUUGAUGUGGCCAUGAGCAUCAGCUGACUAUUUUCUGUGUGUUUUUCUCUCCUCACGCAGUGGCUGGGAUGAGCCCCCUCUCGCCGUAUCUUAAUGUGGAUCCAAGAUAUUUUACACAUGUCAGUUCCAGUUAGUAUAAUGAAUGACUUUGGUUCACAAACUUGGAAUCUGCCAGAUUCAGGACCUGGAUCUACAAUACAACACAACAGGUGCUGCGGUUGGAGCGCUCAACGGGCUCCUAAUAGGACUAUCCGAGACCAAAGACAUGGCUUGGUCUAAGCCACGUAAUGUACAGUCAAUCCCCCGUCUUUGCACAAAUUAAUGGUCUUUUGGAGGCCGUGAUUAAGUUGGAUUUCCUUCACAAGUUAUUUCUGGAUUUGAAAGACCAAGCAGAUUAAGAGUUAUGUUCGUCUCAAUCACUUUUUCAGUAUACGAUAAUUACUCAUUCUGGUAUCAACCAGCAGAGGGCAGUCUUCACCAAUUUGUUCAGUAUGUGUCAAAAUAUUUCAUAUGGCUGGUUGAUAACUUGUCAUGCUCUCCAUUAUGAUUGCGCUGGUACAAUGAUUCAAGGGUUCCAUUUGAUCUUUGUAAAGGUGUUUAAAUGCAUCUAUAUGGGUCAUAAUGUAAGCAUCAAGAUUUUUGGCCAACCUCAAUCUUAUCGGUUGUGUGAACAAUCUGCAUUCUGUAUUGGUUCCAACUAAACUCCAAAAGGAUAACCACUUGAAAGGUUAGUCUUGGCUUUCCCUUACAGAUAUGAGGCAAUUAUUUGGGACUUAAAUCUACUCCAAGUAUAUGCUGCUCCACGCAAAGAAUAAAAGCUAAGUGACAUGCAUGGACAAUCUGACGUGACAUGACAUGAAUCCAUCAUGUGUAAUUAUUAACACUGGACUUCCUGCUUAGUUCACAGUUAGGAUCUUACUCUGUGGUCCAAAGGUAAACUGCUGAUGGGAUCAGACCACCGCUAGAGAGAGGGGGGGAGAAGCACUGAAUUAUAUACCUCUACAUUUGCUGAAAUUGAUUCUCACCAAACCGCUUGUCUGAAUUUAUAAUGCUGAUAGGCAGCAUCAUCAUUUCCCCCAGUCGGUAUCAGUAAUAACACAUUGUUCCAUGAAAAACUGGAUAUAGUAGCCCUAUAUGAUGGUGUUUUGUUGUAAAUCUGACCUACGCUGUUGCUUUCACUGAGAUUGUCACACUCACCCGGCCAUUGAAUGACCCUGUGCUUAAUACUCUAGAAGAAAAAGAAACGCACACCUCCUUAGGCGAGGUGCUGGCCAGCAGAGCAGAAAACAUGAAAAUAAAAGAGAGCCGCACACUCUAGGAGCUCAGGUGCAAAAAUGUAAUUACCAACGUUUCAACAGCCAAGCUGUCUUCAUCAGGGUAUAACCUGUGCUUAACACGCCUUUGUCGACACACCUGACUUUUUAGUGCUGCGUAACACAGCUGGGUUUAUAGGCCUUGUCAGCGCUCUUGACAUCCCCAGCAAUCACAUGACUUAGUCCCUGUCAGGACAGGAGAAGGAGGGCGAAGUCUGCCUUGGCCACGGGUAGAUUGUGUUCACUGUAAUGCCGGCUCCAGUUGGAAUAUUGGUUUGACCAGGGUCAUUCUUUUUCCAGCUGUUUGCUGUUAGAAGAUAGACAUUAUCAUGUGCAGUUUUACUGUUUGUGCAUGUCUGAAGCUGAAUCAGAUCAAUCAUGAAGGUACAGCAGUCUAACUACAUUAUCAUCUGACAGGCUGUUUGUCACUUUGCCUGAUCACCUCAACGCAUGGUUAACCUUUUUGAUAUAGGAUUUCCAUAUAAACUGAAGCAUAACUUCAACGGGCAUGUGUCAGGUUUUCAAUACGCGGCCAUUUUACUAGAACCCCUAAUCGUAAAUCAACCCUUGUAUCACAUGGACUUUGUCAGAGUUGAUGUUUAGACUGUAGAUGUCUGUGUUUUUAAUGGAUAUGAUAUCCUCACUUUUAGGCUCCUACAUCUGGUGAUCCUCCAAGGAGCGACAUGGGCAAACACACUUGGCUCACUGGCUUCGAUGUACAGUGUGUUUGGGGGUGGCCAUCGAGAAGGCACGGUUAGCAGAGGAUGACAUCAACACUGUUGCUGCUGGGAUUAUGACAGGCAUGCUGUACAAGUCCACAGGCUGGUAGAGGGUGUGUACGUGGACCAGCGUGAGGGGGCCUGGCUCUGUCAGCUCUCUGUAUAACAACUGAAGGGAAACCCUCCCACCCGCUACUGAGCCCGGCAUGGAACAUGGACCAGUCAAAACAUUUCCCCAAAUAUCUUUUGAUAUCUUUGUAGACAUAUCCUCCCUUUCCAUAAUAACUUAUCUUGUCCCUGAGUUAGGCCCCUAAGGUUGCAUUGAAGGGUGGCCAGGUCUGGAAGAUGUCAAGUGUUAGACCUAAUUUAUGCUGUAAUGCACAUCAACGCUGCACAUUGUAUCAAUUUGUUGCUGGUGUUAGGAUUCAUUGCUGUGAAUAUCUGAUCAACUGCCUAUGCACAGCUUUUUCCUAAAUUGCACUGUCUAAAUGUCACAUUGAAUCAGUAUUAUUGAGAGUUGAAUGUUGUAAAGAUUGAAUGCUGUCUUACUGAAGUGAAAGGUGGACUUUCUUCCUAUGGAUGUCUACAUAAGUAUCUCAUUCCACAACUUUGCAUGUGGUAAUUUCCAAAUGUUUGCUUUAUGCCAAGAGAAUGUUACUGUUAAUUGUAUUAAAGACAAGUCACAGUUUGUUAAACUUAGGGAACAUAAUGUCCUGCUUUCUAUAAAAUGUGAUUUCCUUUAUCAGUAAUGUCAUACCAGGCCAUCUUGUGAUUUCACUUGACUUGCACAAAGAUAAGAUGGAAAAAGAGUCUCGUCUGUUCUGCUCAUCGCUGUAAACAAAUCUAAGUAGUAAUGAUUAUUUUGCUUCGAUUGCAGUCAGAGUUCAAUCAUGACACUGAUCUGUGUAUCAUAGCAUAUUAGAUUGGUCCUCACAUUGUUUACUUGUGACAGGUUUUGCAACAUGAAGUUUCUGCAGUUCCAGAAAGAAAAAUGGUAACGGGGCAAAGCAGUUAGCCCACUUGUCUUUAGUCGUGGUGUGGUUCUAUUGGUCGAAAACCCUUUAAAAAUAGAUUGAAGUCAGUUUGCAGAUUCUAUAUAGAACACUUGCAGCAGUUGUAGGGUAUUCAAGAAAUUUGAGCUAUGCACUUCUUGACUCAACCCAUAUCAGUGAGGGGGUGUCUGAGUAGAUAUAGGCCAUAGGUUGAGGCCGUCACAUGCAGGGAGAAACAGACGCCUGUGCAUUGAGUUCAGAGUAUGGUUGAGCCUGUGGCCAAUGUCUGUCAUCAUGGAAAGACCGGUGAAACUUGGUCUGACAUGGCUUAUCUAAUCCACGAUAGUUGGGUACACAACCACAUUGUGACAGCAGCCAAUAUUGUCAUCAGCACAACAUUGGUUAAUGCUUCACUGUGCAUUUCUCCAGACCAACUGCCCAUGCUUGCAACUUGGUUUGGGAAAUAAAAAGUUCAAACACUUGAGUUACAAAAGAAGGAAGUCCAAGAACAGAA